Molecule: long non-coding RNA, 353 nt
Filed under: Coturnix japonica (Japanese quail)
Lineage: Eukaryota; Metazoa; Chordata; Aves; Galliformes; Phasianidae
Description: lncRNA (ENSCJPG00005017502.1)
Source: RNAcentral
AUGCUGGAUUUAGCAGCCCCCUCUGUGAGCGUACAACGUGCUGAAGACACGCAGUUAAAGAAUGCUUGUUCAGGAGAUUUCAUGUAUGUAAACUGGAGCAAGGUGCCUUUUUCACUCUGAUAACUGCAGCAGGCACAUGACCAUAAGAUAUAGCGACCUUUGAUGUGUGGAAAACACAGUGAGUAACAUAUCCUCUGUUUAAAAUGUUACAUAUAUUUUGGGAAACAUUUCAAAAUGACAACAGGGUGUAUAAUGCAAUUAUUGUUGUACUGUCUGAUUUAUUGUGUAUAUGUCCACAGGAUAUAUUAAGAUUUUAAGAAUUAAAUUAUAUUUUAUGAAACAGACUGCUUAAU